CCAGUUACUAACAGGUAACGCUGAGGGACUCUGGCGGAACUGCCCGGUGACAAACCGGAGGAAGGUGGGGAUGACGUCAAGUCAUCAUGGCCCCUAUGUCCAGGGCUACACACGUGCUACAAUGGGCGAUACAGAGUGACGCGAAGCCGCGAGGUGGAGCAAAUCGCAGAAAAUCGCUCUCAGUUCGGAUUGGAGUCUGAAACCCGACUCCAUGAAGGUGGAAUCGCUAGUAAUCGCGCAUCAGCAUGGCGCGGUGAAUACGUUCCCGGGCCUU
Molecule: ribosomal RNA, 274 nt
Filed under: uncultured Spirochaetaceae bacterium
Lineage: Bacteria; Pseudomonadati; Spirochaetota; Spirochaetia; Spirochaetales; Spirochaetaceae
Description: partial 16S ribosomal RNA
Rfam family: Bacterial small subunit ribosomal RNA
Source: RNAcentral